Non-coding RNA from Pelobates cultripes (western spadefoot toad), 272 nucleotides. The record is from the annotation of a GenBank genome assembly. Lineage: Eukaryota; Metazoa; Chordata; Amphibia; Anura; Pelobatidae.
UAGGGUAAGGGGUAAGUUUAGGGUUAGGGUUAGGGGUAGGGUAGGGUUAGGUGUAUGGUUAGGGUUAGGGGAAAGGUUAGUGGUAGGGUUAAGAAUAGGGUUACCCUACCCCUACCCUACCCCUACUCCAACCACUAACCUUAACCCUUCCCCAUCCUCUAACCCUACCCCAACCCUUAACCCUACCCCUAACUCUACCUCUACCCCAACCACUAACCCUACCCUAACCCUACCCCAACCCCAACCCUCUCCUGUUUUGUCUUUUUUCAGAA